This 305-nucleotide ribosomal RNA is filed under the name uncultured bacterium. RNAcentral describes it as "bacterial SSU rRNA". It matches the Rfam family "Bacterial small subunit ribosomal RNA", at positions 335 to 658 of the family's 1533-position model. The record is from RNAcentral.
ACCCUACGGGAGGCAGCAGUGGGGAAUAUUGGACAAUGGGGGGAACCCUGAUCCAGCGACGCCGCGUGAGUGAAGAAGUAUUUCGGUAUGUAAAGCUCUAUCCGCAGGGAAGAAAAUGACGGUACCUGACUAAGAAGCCCCGGCUAACUACGUGCCAGCAGCCGCGGUAAUACGUAGGGGGCAAGCGUUAUCCGGAUUUACUGGGUGUAAAGGGAGCGUAGACGGCAUAGCAAGUCUGAAGUGAAAGCCCGUGGCUCAACCGCGGAACUGCUUUGGAAACUGUUAAGCUGGAGUACUGGAGAGGC